Mustela putorius furo (domestic ferret) is the source of this 186-nucleotide small nuclear RNA. Its record names the gene U2. It matches the Rfam family "U2 spliceosomal RNA". Rfam says of the family: U2 is a small nuclear RNA (snRNA) component of the spliceosome (involved in pre-mRNA splicing). Complementary binding between U2 snRNA (in an area lying towards the 5' end but 3' to hairpin I) and the branchpoint sequence (BPS) of the intron results the bulging out of an unpaired adenosine, on the BPS, which initiates a nucleophilic attack at the intronic 5' splice site, thus starting the first of two transesterification reactions that mediate splicing. Lineage: Eukaryota; Metazoa; Chordata; Mammalia; Carnivora; Mustelidae. The record is from Ensembl.
AUUGCUUCUUGGCCUUUUGGCUAAAUCAGAUGUAGUCUCUGUUCUUAUCAGCUUAAUAUCUGAUAGGUCCUUUAUCUAAUGAUAAUAUGUAAAUCGAUUUUUGGAGCAAGGAGGUGGAAUAGUAGCUUGCUCCAUCCACUCCCACCCAUCAAACUGGUGAGUCUCUCCAGGAAUGAUGCUUUUAAA